Long non-coding RNA from Esox lucius (northern pike), 352 nucleotides. RefSeq lists it as uncharacterized. The record is from RefSeq and is a predicted model, not a curated record. Lineage: Eukaryota; Metazoa; Chordata; Actinopteri; Esociformes; Esocidae. The transcript has 4 exons.
GGGGUAACCCUUUGACUGGACAUGCCUCACCAGAGCCUGAAAGGGAUGAAGGACACGGGGAAAAAAAGUAAACGGGUCAGGACUACAAGACCAAAUGUGGACACCUACUCAUUGAACAUCACCAUUUCACAGGGACUAUGGAGCCCAAACCAUGGAUUCAGGCAGAUCUGGAGCUUUGGGCCGCUGAGGUACGAUGGUUCUCCCCAGAACGGUGCUCCGACUCGGGGUCGGACUGGGAUCGCGCAGGGGCGGCUGCCGGGGGCUCCAGCGGCAACUCCCAGCACACUGAACAGUCGACGUUGAGAUAUUUGCAGGGCUGCGACAACUAAUCUACAUGGUUGAUUAUUUGAAA